This 451-nucleotide ribosomal RNA is filed under the name uncultured bacterium. Its description in RNAcentral is "partial 16S ribosomal RNA". It matches the Rfam family "Bacterial small subunit ribosomal RNA", at positions 329 to 794 of the family's 1533-position model. The record is from RNAcentral.
UUCCAGACUCCUACGGGAGGCAGCAGUGGGGAAUAUUGCGCAAUGGGCGAAAGCCUGACGCAGCGACGCCGCGUGAAGGAAGAAGGCUUUCGGGUUGUAAACUUCUUUUCUCAGGGACGAAGCAAGUGACGGUACCUGAGGAAUAAGCCACGGCUAACUACGUGCCGGCAGCCGCGGUAAUACGUAGGUGGCAAGCGUUAUCCGGAAUUACUGGGUGUAAAGGGUGAGUAGGCGGCAUGGUAAGCCAGAUGUGAAAGCCUUGGGCUUAACCCGAGGAUUGCAUUUGGAACUAUCAAGCUAGAGUACAGGAGAGGAAAGCGGAAUUCCUAGUGUAGCGGUGAAAUGCGUAGAUAUUAGGAAGAACACCAGUGGCGAAGGCGGCUUUCUGGACUGAAACUGACGCUGAGGCACGAAAGCGUGGGGAGCGAACAGGAUUAGAUACCCCUGUACC